Molecule: non-coding RNA, 1113 nt
Organism: Pelodiscus sinensis (Chinese soft-shelled turtle)
Lineage: Eukaryota; Metazoa; Chordata; Testudines; Trionychidae
Source: RefSeq, a predicted model, not a curated record
GGAGCACAGCCAGGCCGAGACCCGGACCGACUGGGCGUCGGAGGCGCCGACAGUGGAAUGGAACAGCACAACAAGGAGAGCUUUGUUAGGUACCUGAAUGAUAGACGUUCUGCAGCCUCUUAUGUUGAAAGCACCAUUGAAAACUUAUGUUGAAGCACCUCUGUUGAAAUUUUCCAAAAGGAAGAAUGUAACACUGCUCUGAAUGUGAAAGAAAUGCCUGGGAAUCAGUUUCUCACCUGUUCAACUGGUCACAAAGUCAGAUGUGGCUAGCAUAUCAGAUGCGGGGAGCUCACUCCCCGUUACUAUGCGCUGAAGCCACCCGCCUCUGGAAUUUGUGCAUCCAACAUGCUAUCACCCUGAAGGCUUCAUACUUACCCGGAAUAAACAAUGUUUGGGCAGAAACCCUGAGUCAAGAUUUCAACUGCGAUUAUGAAUGGGAAUUACACCUGGCCAUAAUCACCUCUAUCUUCCACCAAUGGGGGGCGGGGGUCCCAACUACAGACCUCUUUGCGACUCCAGCCAAUACCAAGUGUUCCUGCUUUUGCUUGAGAGACGAUCUAGGCAGAGGAUCUCAUGGUGACGCCUUCCUCAUCCACUGGGAUGAACCACUACACCAGGGGUUCUCAAAGUUUUUGACACAGGGACCAGUAAAUCCAUUCAUGAGCUUUUGGAGGACCGGUAACAUCUUCUCACUUGUUCACUUCCAACGCACCACAGUCGAAGGGUGCACCUAUUUCUAUGCAAUACAUUUCCAAGUGGGUCUCAUUGUGCAUACUGCGUUGUCAUGCACUCCACAAGAAGCCCUUGCCAACUCCAUCAAGGGCACACAUGGCCUGUGCAGCUAUCACCUCAACAGCCUUCCUCACCAACGUACCACUCAAAGACAUCUACAAGGCAGCCACAUGAUCCUCAGACCAUACCCUUGCUAGAGAUUAUGCCACAAAUGUCUGCCAAUUCAGCACUGGCAACAGCAGUGCUAUCUACAGCCUCUAAGCAGUGACUUUGAUUCCCACCAUCCUAUCAGAUACUGCUUGCCGGUUCCCUGACAUGGAGCACCCACAGGGACAUCAUCCAAAGAAGAAAAAGGGAGUUUCUCACCUUGUGCAGUAAUGA